GAACGCUGGCGGUGCGCCUUAUGCAUGCAAGUCGAGCGAAGCUUUUCAGUAGUUUACUACAGAAAAUGACUGAGCGGCGAACGGGUGAGUAACGCGUGAGCAAUCUACCUUAGUUACAGGGAUAGCCCGAGGAAACUCGGAUUAAUACCUGAUAUUCUUUACAUUUCGCAUGAAAUCAAAAGGAAAGGUCAGCCGAACUAAGAUGAGCUCGCGUUCUAUCAGCUAGUUGGUGAGGUAAAAGCUCACCAAGGCAACGACGGAUAGCUGGUCUGAGAGGACGAUCAGCCACACUGGGACUGAGACACGGCCCAGACUCCUACGGGAGGCUGCAGCAGGGAAUAUUGCGCAAUGAGCGAAAGCUUGACGCAGCGACACCGCGUGUGGGAUGACGGAUCUAGGUUUGUAAACCACUUUCAGGAGGGAAGAAAAUGACGGUACCUCCACAAGAAGCCCCGG
This 456-nucleotide ribosomal RNA is filed under the name uncultured bacterium. RNAcentral's name for it is "bacterial SSU rRNA". It matches the Rfam family "Bacterial small subunit ribosomal RNA", at positions 31 to 496 of the family's 1533-position model. The record is from RNAcentral.